Ictalurus punctatus (channel catfish) is the source of this 902-nucleotide long non-coding RNA. The record is from Ensembl. Lineage: Eukaryota; Metazoa; Chordata; Actinopteri; Siluriformes; Ictaluridae.
CAGGAAGUAAGUGCAGGAGCACUGUCUUUAUUAAUAAAUCAAUGACACAAACAAACAAACACGGGAACGCGGUCUAUCCAGAGUUAAUGAGAAAACAUGGGACUAGAGUCGAGGCAGAAAACAGGACAUGAAAACAAAGACCGCUUAGCCUGCUAAACAUAGAUGCUACACCGUUCAAACUGAUCCUUCUCACACAGAUUGUCAGAAUUUCAACAAUCAAGAGAGUGUCCAGGUGUCCAGAUUACGUAGUUGUGGUAAGUGAAUUUUUCAAAAAGGUGUGUCCAGAGCUUGUUGAUUUAGAAAUGCUUACAGUAUAUUAGGCUAUAUAUACACCUUGAUUUACUGUGCGAGAUUCACAACAUCAAGCUGAGAAAGAUGUCUGGAAAGAACAUGAAUGGUACCUGUGGUAGCAUUCAGACACGACUGAGACCUAGUGUGCGCGCCGUGAGCGAGUCCCCUUCUCCCCCUGAAUCCGCGUCCCCGAGCAGUGAACCUGUACAACCGCUGCUGUAGCGGCCUUGUUAAAGGAGGCGUUUGGUCUGGAGAAGGAGCCGGUUCUGGACCGGUCCCACCUGACCCUUCAGCCAAAGCCCAAACCUGGUGAAUGACCAUGAGCAAUUGUGUGCAGAUUCCACUAUCACAGUGACUGUGUUGAUAUCUUACGCCAUGCGAGAGAGCUCCAGCGGAUUAAAGUGAGGGAUUUGACCAUCUCCAUUUUCCCUGACUACACAGCCAAGACAGCCCGGGCCGCGUUUAACGAUGUUCGGCGUCAACUUCGUGGUAUUGAGGGAGCUCGCUAUGGAAUACUUCACCCAGCUCGGCUUCUCAUUACAUAUAACGGUGUUCAGAAGGACUUUAUUUCAGCGAAGGAAGCAGGAGACUACGUUAAACUCUUGAUAUCG